UCUAGCAAAAAGGAUUUUGAAGAAAAUAGUGGACUUGAGCUAGCAUCAAUCCACAAGUUUCUUCUCAGUAUGAUGAAGGUCAUGAUGACUGGGAAAKGAUCCUGAAGACUGAAAAAAGGCAAACAUCAAACCUACUUCCAGGAAAGGCAGGAACUGAGAUUGAGUUAAGAAAUUACAGGCUUCUCAGUCUCACUUCAGUGUCUAGAGUAGUCAGACUUUGGAAAAAGUUGUUUGGAAAAAGUGUGGAAUCACCAGCUUUGAAGAUGUUCAAAGCUACAGGACAAGGCUUCAAAAAUGGACCUUUUUGGAGUAAGGAGUGGAUGGUCUCUAAAUGUCAACUUUUCAAUUUAGACUGUGCAAUGUUUCUGCAGUUUAACUGUCAUUCCUCUUGUGCUCUGUUUAGUCUCAAUUUCUGAACAAUGCCCAUUGUGUGUGUUUAAUCAUGUUCUCCUAUCCUGGCUCUGGAUCUUAUUAAAACGAACUCUAGCU
Long non-coding RNA from Nothoprocta perdicaria, 489 nucleotides. RefSeq lists it as uncharacterized. NCBI's taxonomy places the organism in Eukaryota, Metazoa, Chordata, Aves, Tinamiformes, Tinamidae. The record is from RefSeq and is a predicted model, not a curated record. The transcript has 2 exons.